RNAcentral lists this ribosomal RNA (564 nucleotides) under uncultured soil bacterium. RNAcentral's name for it is "bacterial SSU rRNA". It matches the Rfam family "Bacterial small subunit ribosomal RNA", at positions 35 to 633 of the family's 1533-position model. The record is from RNAcentral.
GCUGGCGGCAUGCCUAACACAUGCAAGUCGAACGCUCACCGGGCUUCGGUCCGGUGGGAGUGGCGCACGGGUGAGUAGCGCGUGGGAACCUGCCCUGUUGUGUGGGAUAACCGAGGGAAACUUCGGCUAAUACCGCAUACGCCGGGAAACCGGGAAAGAUUUAUCGCAGCAGGAGGGGCCCGCGUCGGAUUAGCUAGUUGGCGGGGUAACGGCCCACCAAGGCUCCGAUCCGUAGCUGGUCUGAGAGGAUGAUCAGCCACACUGGGACUGAGACACGGCCCAGACUCCUACGGGAGGCAGCAGUGGGGAAUAUUGGACAAUGGGCGCAAGCCUGAUCCAGCAAUGCCGCGUGAGUGAUGAAGGCCUUAGGGUUGUAAAGCUCUUUCGCCCGCGACGAUGAUGACGGUAGCGGGAGAAGAAGCCCCGGCUAACUUCGUGCCAGCAGCCGCGGUAAUACGAAGGGGGCGAGCGUUGUUCGGAUUUACUGGGCGUAAAGGGCGCGUAGGCGGCCCUCCUUGUCGCGUGUGAAAGCCCCGGGCUCAACCUGGGAAUUGCGCGCGAAAC